Molecule: ribosomal RNA, 301 nt
Filed under: uncultured bacterium
Lineage: Bacteria
Description: partial 16S ribosomal RNA
Rfam family: Bacterial small subunit ribosomal RNA
Source: RNAcentral
CAGCAGCCGCGGUAAUACGUAGGGUGCAAGCGCUAAUCGGAAUUACUGGGCGUAGAGCGUGCGCAGGCGGUUUGUUAAGACAGAUGUGAAAUCCCCGAGCUUAACUUGGGAACUGCAUUUGUGACUGCACGGCUAGAGUGUGUCAGAGGGGGGUAGAAUUCCACGUGUAGCAGUGAAAUGCGUAGAUAUGUGGAGGAAUACCGAUGGCGAAGGCAGCCCCCUGGGAUAACACUGACGCUCAUGCACGAAAGCGUGGGGAGCAAACAGGAUUAGAUACCCCGGUAGUCCCUGUCUCUUAUAC